Molecule: long non-coding RNA, 289 nt
Filed under: Elaeis guineensis (African oil palm)
Lineage: Eukaryota; Viridiplantae; Streptophyta; Magnoliopsida; Arecales; Arecaceae
Description: long non-coding RNA (EGUI_LNC060008)
Source: RNAcentral
ACCUGAGACCGCCACGGUGACAUGCAAGCAACUCACUGCACUUAGGCACUGGACUACCUAAAUUUCUAAUUCAGUGACGGAAGGCUGCUGGGUAUAGUCAAGUACUUGACUUGUCAGUGCGUGUGUCAAGAUGGGAUUGACCACUCCAGUUUAGGAGCUGUGUACAGUCAUGUUUCAAUUUAGCAAAAUCUUGACCAGGGUAGUCUUUGUGAGGAGUCACAAGACUGUUUGAGUUAAGUACGAUUUGGAUGAUCUAAUCAGGGUGGAUAGUUUAACCCUGAGUCAUCCU